UACGUAGGGUGCAAGCGUUAAUCGGAAUUACUGGGCGUAAAGCGUGCGCAGGCGGUUUUGUAAGUUUGUCGUGAAAGCCCCGGGCUCAACCUGGGAAUGGCGAUGAAGACUGCAAGGCUUGAAUCUGGCAGAGGGGGGUAGAAUUCCACGUGUAGCAGUGAAAUGCGUAGAGAUGUGGAGGAACACCGAUGGCGAAGGCAGCCCCCUGGGUCAAGAUUGACGCUCAU
This 227-nucleotide ribosomal RNA is filed under the name uncultured bacterium. RNAcentral describes it as "partial 16S ribosomal RNA". It matches the Rfam family "Bacterial small subunit ribosomal RNA", at positions 524 to 750 of the family's 1533-position model. The record is from RNAcentral.